GAUCAUGGCUCAGGACGAACGCUGGCGGCGCGCCUAACACAUGCAAGUCGAACGGAGAUUACAGGCGGAAGUUUUCGGAUGGAAGCUUGUAAACUUAGUGGCGGACGGGUGAGUAACACGUGAGCAACCUGCCUAUCAGAGGGGGAUAACGAUUGGAAACGAUCGCUAAUACCGCAUGACAUAGCGGAACCGCAUGGUUCUGUUAUCAAAGAUUUUAUCGCUGGUAGUUGGGCUCGCGUCCGA
This 243-nucleotide ribosomal RNA is filed under the name uncultured bacterium. Its description in RNAcentral is "partial 16S ribosomal RNA". It matches the Rfam family "Bacterial small subunit ribosomal RNA", at positions 15 to 240 of the family's 1533-position model. The record is from RNAcentral.